This 2621-nucleotide ribosomal RNA is filed under the name Shigella flexneri. RNAcentral's name for it is "partial 23S ribosomal RNA". It matches the Rfam family "Bacterial large subunit ribosomal RNA". The record is from RNAcentral. Lineage: Bacteria; Pseudomonadati; Pseudomonadota; Gammaproteobacteria; Enterobacterales; Enterobacteriaceae.
CCAUAGGUUAAUGAGGCGAACCGGGGGAACUGAAACAUCUAAGUACCCCGAGGAAAAGAAAUCAACCGAGAUUCCCCCAGUAGCGGCGAGCGAACGGGGAGCAGCCCAGAGCCUGAAUCAGUGUGUGUGUUAGUGGAAGCGUCUGGAAAGGCGCGCGAUACAGGGUGACAGCCCCGUACACAAAAAUGCACAUGCUGUGAGCUCGAUGAGUAGGGCGGGACACGUGGUAUCCUGUCUGAAUAUGGGGGGACCAUCCUCCAAGGCUAAAUACUCCUGACUGACCGAUAGUGAACCAGUACCGUGAGGGAAAGGCGAAAAGAACCCCGGCGAGGGGAGUGAAAAAGAACCUGAAACCGUGUACGUACAAGCAGUGGGAGCACGCUUAGGCGUGUGACUGCGUACCUUUUGUAUAAUGGGUCAGCGACUUAUAUUCUGUAGCAAGGUUAACCGAAUAGGGGAGCCGAAGGGAAACCGAGUCUUAACUGGGCGUUAAGUUGCAGGGUAUAGACCCGAAACCCGGUGAUCUAGCCAUGGGCAGGUUGAAGGUUGGGUAACACUAACUGGAGGACCGAACCGACUAAUGUUGAAAAAUUAGCGGAUGACUUGUGGCUGGGGGUGAAAGGCCAAUCAAACCGGGAGAUAGCUGGUUCUCCCCGAAAGCUAUUUAGGUAGCGCCUCGUGAAUUCAUCUCCGGGGGUAGAGCACUGUUUCGGCAAGGGGGUCAUCCCGACUUACCAACCCGAUGCAAACUGCGAAUACCGGAGAAUGUUAUCACGGGAGACACACGGCGGGUGCUAACGUCCGUCGUGAAGAGGGAAACAACCCAGACCGCCAGCUAAGGUCCCAAAGUCAUGGUUAAGUGGGAAACGAUGUGGGAAGGCCCAGACAGCCAGGAUGUUGGCUUAGAAGCAGCCAUCAUUUAAAGAAAGCGUAAUAGCUCACUGGUCGAGUCGGCCUGCGCGGAAGAUGUAACGGGGCUAAACCAUGCACCGAAGCUGCGGCAGCGACGCUUAUGCGUUGUUGGGUAGGGGAGCGUUCUGUAAGCCUGUGAAGGUGUACUGUGAGGUAUGCUGGAGGUAUCAGAAGUGCGAAUGCUGACAUAAGUAACGAUAAAGCGGGUGAAAAGCCCGCUCGCCGGAAGACCAAGGGUUCCUGUCCAACGUUAAUCGGGGCAGGGUGAGUCGACCCCUAAGGCGAGGCCGAAAGGCGUAGUCGAUGGGAAACAGGUUAAUAUUCCUGUACUUGGUGUUACUGCGAAGGGGGGACGGAGAAGGCUAUGUUGGCCGGGCGACGGUUGUCCCGGUUUAAGCGUGUAGGCUGGUUUUCCAGGCAAAUCCGGAAAAUCAAGGCCGAGGCGUGAUGACGAGGCACUACGGUGCUGAAGCAACAAAUGCCCUGCUUCCAGGAAAAGCCUCUAAGCAUCAGGUAACAUCAAAUCGUACCCCAAACCGACACAGGUGGUCAGGUAGAGAAUACCAAGGCGCUUGAGAGAACUCGGGUGAAGGAACUAGGCAAAAUGGUGCCGUAACUUCGGGAGAAGGCACGCUGAUACGUAGGUGAAGCGACUUGCUCGUGGAGCUGAAAUCAGUCGAAGAUACCAGCUGGCUGCAACUGUUUAUUAAAAACACAGCACUGUGCAAACACGAAAGUGGACGUAUACGGUGUGACGCCUGCCCGGUGCCGGAAGGUUAAUUGAUGGGGUUAGCGCAAGCGAAGCUCUUGAUCGAAGCCCCGGUAAACGGCGGCCGUAACUAUAACGGUCCUAAGGUAGCGAAAUUCCUUGUCGGGUAAGUUCCGACCUGCACGAAUGGCGUAAUGAUGGCCAGGCUGUCUCCACCCGAGACUCAGUGAAAUUGAACUCGCUGUGAAGAUGCAGUGUACCCGCGGCAAGACGGAAAGACCCCGUGAACCUUUACUAUAGCUUGACACUGAACAUUGAGCCUUGAUGUGUAGGAUAGGUGGGAGGCUUUGAAGUGUGGACGCCAGUCUGCAUGGAGCCGACCUUGAAAUACCACCCUUUAAUGUUUGAUGUUCUAACGUGGACCCGUGAUCCGGGUUGCGGACAGUGUCUGGUGGGUAGUUUGACUGGGGCGGUCUCCUCCUAAAGAGUAACGGAGGAGCACGAAGGUUGGCUAAUCCUGGUCGGACAUCAGGAGGUUAGUGCAAUGGCAUAAGCCAGCUUGACUGCGAGCGUGACGGCGCGAGCAGGUGCGAAAGCAGGUCAUAGUGAUCCGGUGGUUCUGAAUGGAAGGGCCAUCGCUCAACGGAUAAAAGGUACUCCGGGGAUAACAGGCUGAUACCGCCCAAGAGUUCAUAUCGACGGCGGUGUUUGGCACCUCGAUGUCGGCUCAUCACAUCCUGGGGCUGAAGUAGGUCCCAAGGGUAUGGCUGUUCGCCAUUUAAAGUGGUACGCGAGCUGGGUUUAGAACGUCGUGAGACAGUUCGGUCCCUAUCUGCCGUGGGCGCUGGAGAACUGAGGGGGGCUGCUCCUAGUACGAGAGGACCGGAGUGGACGCAUCACUGGUGUUCGGGUUGUCAUGCCAAUGGCACUGCCCGGUAGCUAAAUGCGGAAGAGAUAAGUGCUGAAAGCAUCUAAGCACGAAACUUGCCCCGAGAUGAGU